AGAAAGGGAAGUAACCUUGGUGGCUGAGGAGAGAAGAAGACGUGAUGAUCAGAGAUUAUUGUGGUAAAGAAUAGAACAUGGUUAAUCUAUAGAAGGAGGCAUGAUCAUGUCUUUAUAAAUGAUAUACAAGUAUUGAUAAGGUCAGACGUCAAUAUUUCUGCGAAAGACCAAGUGUAUAAUUUUUAUUAUUUAUGACUAAUUCUAGUUGACAAAACAAUAUAAUAUGACUAGUUCACACGGGAAAUAUUAUACAGCAUAUUCAGACCAUUAUUAUUGACAGUAUGUCAAUAGGUUUAUCAGCAUCUAAGUAUUGAAAAAAAAUAAUUAGGAAAGAGAGAGAAUGAAAAUAUUUCUCGUCGAGAGACUCUUAAAACAUAUGUAGAAACUAUAUCUCCAUUUGUCUUUUUUUU
RNAcentral lists this long non-coding RNA (410 nucleotides) under Brassica napus (rape). Its description in RNAcentral is "long non-coding RNA (BNAP_LNC022760)". The record is from RNAcentral. Lineage: Eukaryota; Viridiplantae; Streptophyta; Magnoliopsida; Brassicales; Brassicaceae.